GUUCAGACUGCAGGCUGCAACUCGCCUGCGCGAAGUCGGAAUUGCUAGUAAUCGUAGGUCAGCAUACUACGGUGAAUACGUUCCCGGGCCUUGUACACACCGCCCGUCAAACCAUGAGAGUUGGCAACACCCGAAGUCGGUAGUCUAACCGCAAGGAGGACGCCGCCGAAGGUGGGGUUGAUGAUUAGGGUUAAGUCGUAACAAGGUAUC
Molecule: ribosomal RNA, 210 nt
Filed under: uncultured bacterium
Lineage: Bacteria
Description: partial 16S ribosomal RNA
Rfam family: Bacterial small subunit ribosomal RNA
Source: RNAcentral